Molecule: ribosomal RNA, 596 nt
Filed under: Salmonella enterica
Lineage: Bacteria; Pseudomonadati; Pseudomonadota; Gammaproteobacteria; Enterobacterales; Enterobacteriaceae
Also listed under: 1 other name
Description: partial 23S ribosomal RNA
Rfam family: Bacterial large subunit ribosomal RNA
Source: RNAcentral
UGACUGCGUACCUUUUGUAUAAUGGGUCAGCGACUUAUAUUCUGUAGCAAGGUUAACCGAAUAGGGGAGCCGGAGGGAAACCGAGUCUUAACCGGGCGUUAAGUUGCAGGGUAUAGACCCGAAACCCGGUGAUCUAGCCAUGGGCAGGUUGAAGGUUGGGUAACACUAACUGGAGGACCGAACCGACUAAUGUUGAAAAAUUAGCGGAUGACCUGUGGCUGGGGGUGAAAGGCCAAUCAAACCGGGAGAUAGCUGGUUCUCCCCGAAAGCUAUUUAGGUAGCGCCUCGUGAAUUCAUCUCCGGGGGUAGAGCACUGUUUCGGCUAGGGGGCCAUCCCGGCUUACCAACCCGAUGCAAACUGCGAAUACCGGAGAAUGUUAUCACGGGAGACACACGGCGGGUGCUAACGUCCGUCGUGAAGAGGGAAACAACCCAGACCGCCAGCUAAGGUCCCAAAGUCAUGGUUAAGUGGGAAACGAUGUGGGAAGGCCCAGACAGCCAGGAUGUUGGCUUAGAAGCAGCCAUCAUUUAAAGAAAGCGUAAUAGCUCACUGGUCGAGUCGGCCUGCGCGGAAGAUGUAACGGGGCUAAACCAUG